CACGGAGUUAGCCGAUCCUUAUUCCUUCGGUACAUUCAGCUCACUAUACAUAAUGAGGUUUAUUCCCGAAUAAAAGCAGUUUACGACCCAGAGGGCUGUCUUCCUGCACGCGGCAUGGCUGGUUCAGAGUUGCCUCCAUUGACCAAUAUUCCUUACUGCUGCCUCCCGUAGGAGUCUGGUCCGUGUCUCAGUACCAGUGUGGGGGGUCAUCCUCUCAGAUCCCCUAGACAUCGUGGUCUUGGUGGGCCGUUACCCCGCCAACUAACUAAUGUCACGCAUGCCCAUCUUAAUCCUAUAAAUAUUUGAUCAUUGUACAAUGCUGUACUGUGAUUUUAUGCGGUGUUAAUCCGAAUUUCUUCGGGCUAUCCCCCUGAUUAAGGUAGGUUGCAUACGCGUUACGCACCCGUGCGCCACUUUCCUCCCCAGCAAGCUGGAAAGUAUCGUUCGACUUGCAUGUAUUAGGCCUGCCGCUAGCGUUCAUCCUGAGCCAGGAUA
This 495-nucleotide ribosomal RNA is filed under the name uncultured Pedobacter sp. Its description in RNAcentral is "partial 16S ribosomal RNA". The record is from RNAcentral. Lineage: Bacteria; Pseudomonadati; Bacteroidota; Sphingobacteriia; Sphingobacteriales; Sphingobacteriaceae.